Melitaea cinxia (Glanville fritillary) is the source of this 681-nucleotide long non-coding RNA. RefSeq lists it as uncharacterized. The record is from RefSeq and is a predicted model, not a curated record. The transcript is spliced from 2 exons. NCBI's taxonomy places the organism in Eukaryota, Metazoa, Arthropoda, Insecta, Lepidoptera, Nymphalidae.
AAUUUUUCUUUUGAUGUGUUAUUCAUACUGAAGACAAAACGGGCAAGAUAUAAGAUAAACGGAUCGACAGUUUUCAAUUUUGUCUAUCUAUCUGUGGCCGAGCGUAACGAUGAAGCUACUGAAUUAAUUAUGAACAAUACUUGGCAAGAUUUGAAUCUAUAUUACGAGCUGGGAAACUAACUAUUUUAUCCCGAAUCUCAAAACUGUUUGUUCCUGUUUAAAAGAGAACGAAAAGCGAAAUGUAGCAUCGCGAAUGAACGAAGUUGAAGGAAUGGCACUGUUGGAAGCCAUUAAUCUAAAUGAAUGAAUGAAUGAAUGGAUUCAAAAGUGCUGUCGAACCCUAACUUUAAGAAAGAAAAUUAGGAGUUUACUCCUUAUGAAACUUAAUAUGGCCUGUGGUAUGACAAAGAAAUAUAGGAAAUUAAAUUGUAUGAAACAGCUGAUGCUGACGCUUUCUGACUUUAAGAGAAUGUUUUACUGAACUUUUGGCUGUUGUCAAUUAUCAAUUUAAUAAAACAUUUAAACUUUAAUAUCAUGAUAAUCAUUUUAAAGGAAUAAAGUCCAGUCGCGUGCCGGAGUUAACACACGCAUUUUUUGUUUCAUCCAGGAUAUUUGUUUCCUUUUAUAUAAAUAUAUGUAAACUUCGAAUUUAUACAAUUUAAUUAAAGAAAGUAAUAUCAA